GAGGGAAGAGCAGAGGGAAUAAAAUAGAAAAAGAGAUUUGUCCCUAAUUGCACCCUUAUCAAUUCCAAUCAACCAGACAACCAGAAGUGGCUGUGUAUGGUGUUUCUGUGUAUCGCUGCAGAAAAAAACUUGUUAAGGAGUGGGAGGGACAGGAAAAUUAAGUUUUCUAAAAAAGAAACAAUGAGUUUUAAUAGUGAUAAAAACAAAGAAUGACAGGGAGAGUGGAAGAAGAAGGCUCAGAAAUAAGGAGAACAUCUUUCUCUCUCAGAAACCUGCAAUUAUAAUAGUUUCUAUAAACAAACUCAGGAUCACAUCCGUCAGUGUAGAGUCCACUGGGAGCAGCUGUAUAACAGACUCAAUGGACAUUUGGCACGAAAUGUUGAUGUGGUCAUUUAAGUAUUUACAUAAAUCCUAUCUUUUCACUGUUUAAUAAAUAAAUAAAGGGAGUCCUUCCCCCUGUCUCUACCAGAACAUCAUGCAGACAUCCCCUCUUAACAUAAAUCAUUUAAGGCAAAGUAGUUUGUGAACUGGCGCAUGUUUGUGAAUUCAUGAUACUGUGAUGUUUCCGUCUCUGUUCUUGAGUGCAGAUGCUGCACUGUGUGCACUGGUGAGAGCUGCCUUUGUCUUUGACAACUACCUCUAUUACAAGUAAUUGCCAGAUACAAAGUGAGAGGGCAUCCCUUUGGUCUCCGAGCUCUAUAUAUAGCCUGUUCCACAGAGAAAAUCGAUUUCCAGUUAAGAACACAGGAGACAGGGCUACUUCAUCUCUCUAUUCCAUAGAGGAUGAUUAGUAACUGUACAAUAUUAUUCUUUAUCCUCUUUUGUUUCUGUUAUAAUCCACACUUCUGCAUCCAGCUGAAUUCAUCAGCUGUCUUCAGUAAGCAUCUUUGAGUCUUUUUUUAUAUAUAUAAAAUAUGGAAUUAAGGCCUACAGUAUAUUUGGUCAUUGAUUAAAUACAAAUGUCCAAUUUUUGGAAAAAAAUGACAUGUUAGUUAUGCUGAUCAUGGUGUGACAUUCAGGGAAGGGUAAGCAUUGUCCAGACUGUAUAAUGUCUCAUCCAUUUUGAGACCAGAGAAAUAUUCAAACCUGCUUAAAAUUCCAGUGGCUGGAGGGAGAUUUAUUGAGUGCAUUCAUUGCCUUAAUCUUCUCAAGAGGUCACAUUUAAGAGAACAAAUACAGGCAGUGUUACUACAGCACCUGUUCUUGGGAAGCAUGAGAGAAAAGUGACAUAUAAUACUUUAUAUAUGUUCACAUAAAUAAAUCUUGUGCUGGCCCUGUCAUGUUUUUAAACCUCAUAAACUGUAAAAAAUGCCAAUAAAAAAUGAGUCCUAAACCUGCCAAAAGAAGCAGCAUCGGUCUACAGUAGCCAUCAAUUAAGAAGCAGUGCCCUCCUGUUCGCUGGCUGUGUGAAGCUCACUGGCGCCCAUUUGUUUUGUCAUGUAGCCUGUUUUUCAUUGCCACCAUUCCAUGUGCAUGCGGCGGUGAUGAUUAUAAAUAGAAACAUAAAAGCAAGUGGCGCAAUCCUGGUCUGUGACAACCCCCACACCCUAGUAUCCACCACCCUAACUUGCCGCUGCCAUGGCAACGCUGGCGACGUAAUUAUGUCUCCCCAUCCUGCAGAUAUCGAGUCUCACUGCAUGUCAUCUCCUGCCUACAGUGGCAAUGUGACAUGUUGACUAUUAUAUCAGCUUUUCAGCUCUUAUAUAAGGAAGGAGUCCCCAGCAGAGAGAAAGAGGCAGCGAGAAAGCAUUACAAAACCCUCCAACACACACACACACACACACACACACACACACACACACACACACACACACAUACUCUGUAGAGAUUCACUGGCUAAGUGAUAAGUUGUCUUAAAACAUGUUCAAAGAGUGGAGACAGCUAGAGGGGACUCCCGUGCUGUAAUUUUUCUCUCUAUGUUCUAAAAACAGCUCCAAUCAAAUGACAGAGGAGGGCAGUGGCUCGGCAGGCGCGGAGAACAGGCACCUGUAGAACAGACCCUUCUCUCCUGACAGGGAAUAUUAAUCUUAGCUUGUAAGUACUUGACAAAGGACUCUUUUGCAGCAGGCGCUGUUCCAGAGGCAGCCGUGAACCGUAACUGACAUUAAGGAUCUCCACUUUGAUCAGCACACCAAGCUGAGUCUCCAUCAGAAAAUCUCAGACAGUCAUUCAACAGGAUGUGAAGGGGGGAGGAAGAAGAGGAGGAGGAGGAGGAGGAGGAGGAGGAGUGUGAAAGCUUAAGCCACCUUUGAUAACCAAGGCUGUAUGAAAUGGCCCUUGAGGAAACCACAACAGCCUCAUGUGCCUGUACUAUUCUUGUCCACUCUCUGUCCACUGUGUCGGCAAGAAUAACGCUGGACGGAAUGACAAUGUUGAGGGAGCAUAAUAAGGUCCUAAAGGUAGACAGGCAUUGUUCAAGCUCCGCUGAAGCCUCUACCUAAUGUAUAAUUUACAACCUACAUUCUUCAUGAUUGACAUUAUUCUCCGUGCUGACUGAAAUGCAAAGAAAAGGUCAAAAUAUGCUUCUGUCUAUGUACUUUACUCAACAGCAGAAUACAUAAGACAUCGGCAUCUACUGCUACAAAUUUACAGUUGAUACAUUUAAAUAAAAUGCACCUUGAAUGUA
Lates calcarifer (barramundi perch) is the source of this 2626-nucleotide long non-coding RNA. RefSeq lists it as uncharacterized. The transcript has 2 exons. Lineage: Eukaryota; Metazoa; Chordata; Actinopteri; Centropomidae. The record is from RefSeq and is a predicted model, not a curated record.